GUGGGGAAUAUUGGACAAUGGGCGCAAGCCUGAUCCAGCCAUGCCGCGUGAGUGAUGAAGGCCCUAGGGUUGUAAAGCUCUUUCACCGGUGAAGAUAAUGACGGUAACCGGAGAAGAAGCCCCGGCUAACUUCGUGCCAGCAGCCGCGGUAAUACGAAGGGGGCUAGCGUUGUUCGGAAUUACUGGGCGUAAAGCGCACGUAGGCGGGUAUUUAAGUCAGGGGUGAGAUCCCGGAGCUCAACUCCGGAACUGCCUUUGAUACUGGGUACCUAGAGUAUGGAAGAGGUAAGUGGAAUUCCGAGUGUAGAGGUGAAAUUCGUAGAUAUUCGGAGGAACACCAGUGGCGAAGGCGGCUUACUGGUCCAUUACUGACGCUGAGGUGCGAAAGCGUGGGGAGCAAACAGGAUUAGAAACCCUUGUAGUC
RNAcentral lists this ribosomal RNA (424 nucleotides) under uncultured bacterium. RNAcentral describes it as "partial 16S ribosomal RNA". It matches the Rfam family "Bacterial small subunit ribosomal RNA", at positions 354 to 795 of the family's 1533-position model. The record is from RNAcentral.